Molecule: long non-coding RNA, 258 nt
Organism: Eurytemora carolleeae
Lineage: Eukaryota; Metazoa; Arthropoda; Copepoda; Calanoida; Temoridae
Exons: 2
Source: RefSeq, a predicted model, not a curated record
UUUUUCAUUUCAGAUUUAAAAAGACUGGGAAUAUAAAAAAAAGAAUUGACCAGGGAAGAAAUAAAGAUAAUAGGAGAACAAGUUGUCAUCAUGGUAGAUAGAUUUCCAUUUUCUAGGUUGGGGGAAACUUCUACUUGGGAUGUACAGAUAGAUGUUAAGAUGGAAAAUACAGAAUUCUUAGAUGUGGGUGGUGAAAAUGCGACACAAGAAAUAAAGUUGGAAGAUAUUGAGAUAAAAGAAGAGACCGUUUUCAUUAAG